This 301-nucleotide ribosomal RNA is filed under the name uncultured bacterium. RNAcentral's name for it is "partial 16S ribosomal RNA". It matches the Rfam family "Bacterial small subunit ribosomal RNA", at positions 509 to 807 of the family's 1533-position model. The record is from RNAcentral.
CAGUCGCCGCGGUAAUACGUAGGGUGCAAGCGUUAAUCGGAAUUACUGGGCGUAAAGCGUGCGCAGGCGGUCCGCUAAGACAGAUGUGAAAUCCCCGGGCUUAACCUGGGAACUGCAUUUGUGACUGGCGGGCUAGAGUAUGGCAGAGGGGGGUAGAAUUCCACGUGUAGCAGCGAAAUGCGUAGGGAUGUGGAGGAAUACCGAUGGCGAAGGCAGCCCCCUGGGCCAAUACUGACGCUCAUGCACGAAAGCGUGGGGAGCAAACAGGAUUAGAUACCCCCGUAGUCCCUGUCUCUUAUAC